UUCAGUUUGGAGAUUAAUUAGAAGUAAUAUUUAAAGUCAAGAAUAUGAGUGAUAAAACAUGUUUAAGUUUCAAACUUAUCAAUAGCACCAAUGGAAAACAGAAUACUAUGGAAUGGAGUUCUCCACACCCAAUUCAAAUAAAAAUCUGAAGACAUGUAUUCAGUUUUAUUUACAUUUUGUGGUUUAAUAGCAGCCCAGUUCCAACAAUGCAGAAAGUAUUUUGGAGAUGUGCUGAGAAAGUAGGUUUGUGUAUAAAGGAUAACUUUACUGGGUUUGAUAAAUUUUGUCUGUUAGUUAAAUCUCUGAGGCCCACUGUUUUAGUGAAUCCACUAUAUCAGUAAUAUAUUCUAAGGAGAACAAAUUUAAGAACGAUACCUUCACAUUCAAAGUUUCUGGUUCAUAUUGUCAAGACCAAGAUCCAUGAUGUGUGUUAUAGUUGAUAUAUUUAAUAAAUACUGCAAAAUAUUUUAAAUUAGCUUAGCUGACUCUUUAGGACUGUUCCAAGAAACUCAUAUAUUGUGAGCUCUCGAGAGUGCAUCCAGCAAUAUUAACAGAUGAACGUUUCGCAAGUAAGAAAUAAAUUCCUUGAUCAUUUAUUGUAAUGAAUAAUAGUGUAAAGGAAUCUCAUACAAAAAUUGCAUCUCUUUUUCCCUGAAUUGGAAAUGUUAUAGCCAGUGAACACGUAGGUGGAGAAAGUUCUGAGGAUUGAAUACUUUCUUGCAGCGUCCUCGGAAGCAAUAUUUUUCCACGCAGGUUGUGCAAGCCAGCUUGUGUGCAUAGUUGAUGUGCUUCCUGGACUUCAUUAUGGUUAUGCAACAAAACGAGGCCUGGUUUCAGAAGUCAGCCUGGAAGUAUGGUACGGUAGUGUUAACUGUUUGUGGAAUGCCUGACAGCAUCAGCCAUCGCUGUUGGAGUGCAAUUCCUGCCACUGCCUGUAAGGGGUUUUUACAUUCUCUCUGUGACUAUUUACAUUUUCCUUGGUGCUUCACUCACUCCUACAUUCCAAAGAUGUACAGGUUACAGGUAGUACGCUGUGUCUAUUCUACAUUGGUGCCAGACGCAUGGUGAUACUUGCAGACUGCACCCAGCACAUCCUUGCGCAGUGUUGGUUGUUGACCAUAUGACAGGUUUUACUCUAUGCUUCGAUGUUUUAGUACAUAUUGACAAAUUAAGCUAAUCUUGAACCUUAAUUGUAAUUGUUGAACAUGCAGUCCUGGCAGGAGUUCCUAAAACUGCAGUCUCAUGAUGAGUUGCAACUCAAAGUACUGGGCCCAGAAUGGAUGCGGAGUGGCCCCAGUUCACUCAUCAAACUAGCUGACCUCAAUCAGUUGCUCCGAACUUUCCUUCCCUUGCCCUGAAGUUUAGCUCGCUGCCUGUUAUACCUGUUCUGUUCUCUCGUGUUUUGUGACCCCUCACGGCUUCUUAUUUUGCAGUCUAUUAUUAAGGUUGUCAUUCACCUCUGAAUCAUCUCUGCUGCUCUGAUCUUGGGUCAAACUUUUGCCAUUUUUCCCUUGACUGCGCGAGCUCUAAUCUGAUCUGCCGCUGUCUGGGAUACCAACACCUCUAUAUGCAACUAAUAUUCAGAUUUUACCUCCAAGAUGCACUGGGUUUUCUAUCAAGUGGCAAGGAUCUCACUCGGUGCUGGAUUACCGCUUGGAAUUCAGGACCCUCACAGCAGAGUACGGCUGGAAUGCUUAUAAGAUAAACUGUCUAUUCUGAAAAUGCCCACCAACCUUGAAAGCUUCGUCAGCCUAGCCCUCCAAAUUGACAAGCGUCUUAAGGAACAACCCUCCAGGUCAUCAGCCAGAACCCUAGUCCAUUUCCCAGACCCAAAUCAGGCUGCAGGUCUCUCAGCGUCAAUGCCUCCAGAACAAAUGGAGUUGGGAAGAGCUCCCUUAAUCCCCUUUCCCCACCCAGAGAUGGAGAAACAUUGUGCAUUUACUGUUGUGCCACCGUUCACCCACACAUCAAAUGCUCCCUACGUUCAGAAAAACGCCACCAAGUAGAGACGAGAAGCCUUCUAUCUGCUAAUCUCCCCCCAGCUUCUCCUUACAGCACCAAUCACAGCUUCCACUCCCUGUCCUCUUCCACACCCCGAUGGCUGUCUGCACACAGGAGGCUCUGGUGGAUCCUGGUGUGGCUGCCAACGUUCUGGACCGGACUCUGCGUGUGCAGGAUUGACUCCCUACUGAGCCAAUCUCUCACUCCUUCUGUAUCACAGCCACUGACAGACACUCCCUGGGGAUUGGGAGGUCAGCGCGUGCACAUGGCCUACGCGCAUGAGCACUGCGUGUCCAUCCAGUUCCUCCUUAUCGACUUGCCCAACACUCCCCUCACCUUGAGUUACCCCUGGCUGUCCACUCAUGAACCUCACUUCGCCUGGUCAUCCGUUUUGUUGCUGAAUCGGAGACCCACGUGCCAGAUCACCUGCCUUCAAACUCAACUGACUUCAUCCUGUAAGUCCUUGGAGAUGGAAGAAACCCUAGACCUCACCAAACUUCCUUCUGCGACUUAGCUACCACCUUUAGUAAACAACCAACCACCUCACAGACAACAUGAUUGACCUCCUCCUGGACACCACCUCUCCCCAAAGUUGUCUGUUCUCCCUCUCUCCUCCUGAGACACAAAGCUGCAGUAGCAAAGCACUGCUGCACAGACCCAUUCAUCCAUCCCAGACCCCGCUGGCGUAGGAUCCUUCUCUGAAUUGAAUUGACUUUAUUACUUACAUCCUUCACGUACAUGAGUAGUAAAAAUCUUUACAUUACAUUUCCGUCUAAAUGUGCCAUGUGUAAUUUAUAAUAAUUUAUGUACAACAGGACAGUCAAUAUAAAAGUGAAAUACAAUUGUAUCAGCAUGAAUUAAUCAGUGUGAUGGCCUGGUGGAAGAGGCUGCCCCAGAGUCCCGGAGCCUUUUUGUCCGGGCUUUAAUGCUGUGGUGCCGUUUCCCGAGUGGUAGCAGCUGGAACAGUUUGUGAUUGGGGUGACUCAGGUCGCCAAUGAUCCUUCGGGCCCUUUUUACACACCUGUCUUUGUAAAUGACCUGAAUAGUCGGAAGUCCACAUCCACAAAUGUGCUGGGCUGUCCGCACCACUCUCCGCAGAGUCCUGCGAUUGAGGGAGGUACAGUUCCCAUACCAGGCAGUGAUACAGCCAGUCAGGAUGCUCUCAGUUGUGCCCCUGAAGAGAAGUUCUUAGGAUUUAGGUGCCCAUACCAAACUUCUUCAACUGUCUUAAGUGAAAGAGGCACUGUUGUGCUUAUUUCUCCAUACAGCCAGUAUGUACAGAUCAUGUGAGAUCCGUGGUGAUGUGUGUACUGAAAAACUUAAAGCAGUUCAGCCUCUCAACCCCAGAUACAUUGAUAUCAGUAGGAGUUAGCUGUCUCCAUUCCUCCUGUAGUCUACAUGGAUUCAUCUGGUCACUCUGAAUACAUCAUGAUGUCUUUCAGUCUUUCUAACAGUCCAGCUAUUUUUCAAACUUUUAACAGUAAGAUUCUCCAGGGUAUGCUAUACAGGUAUGUGUUCGUCCUCCUCGAUGACGUCCUCAUCUUCUCCAAGAAUUCCCAAAACUACAUCAGUCACAUCCAUUCAGUCCUUCAGUUUCUUCUUGAGAACUAAUUCAACUGCAAGUUAGAGGAAUGUCAGUUCCAUACCCUGGUUAUUUUUUUCCUGUAUUUUUCCUGUAUUAUAUACCCCAAGGCACAACUAUGGACCUAGAGAAAGUACAUGUAAUCGUUACAUUAUUGUUAAAUGGCCAUGCUCCCUCAAACAGCUACCGUGUUUCUUGGGCUUCUCCAACUUUUAUCACCAUUUCAUUAGGACCUAUACCCAAAUUGCCACUUCUCUCACCUCCCUCACCAAAUCACCUACCUCGCAGAUAACCUGGUCUGCUGGCAUGGACCACUGUUUUGAGAACUCAAGAGGUGCUUCACCACUGCUCCCAUUUCCUGGCAUCCAAACCCCUCUGGACCUUUCGUAAUAGCAGUUGAUGCACCUGACCUAGGUGCUGGGGCCAUCCUCUCCCAGUGAGAACCUGAUGGAAAGAUACACCCCUGCACUUUCUUCUCGCACAAGUUCAUCUCUAUGCAGUGCCAUUACGGAGUAGGAGACACGGAGCUACCCACUCUUAAAUGGACCUUGGAGGACAGGAGACUGUCUGAUGGGAAAUGCUGAGGCUUUCAUGAUCGGGACUGACCUCUAACUCAACCCAUGUCAGGCUCACUGGGGACUCUUUACCGAGCAAAAAAAAACCUCACAAUCUCCUACCAACUCAGCUCCAAGACCAUUAAGGCAGAAGCCCUGUCAUGACACUUCAAUCCAGCUGAAAUGGAGAUUGAUCCUCAGCCCAUUAUUCCAUCCUCACCCUUAUCAUCUGGGACUUGGAGAACCAGUCUCUGCAGCAUGAGCUUGCUCCAGCUGGCAUCCCUACAAUCACAGGUAUGUGCCAACAGGCAUGUGCUCUGAAGCUGCGGGCAGAUGCUCACUUCUCCCUGGCCAUCCAGGAGCAUGACGGAUCCUGGAUUUUGGUGGCCCACCAUGAUUGUAGUUGCAUGUCAUUACGCCCCUGCCUGCACUGAAUGUGCCCAGUCAAACUCCUUCAACCAGUGGCCCUCUGGACUCCUGUGGCCCCCGCCAGUCCCUCAUUGACCAUGAUCUCACAUUGCCAUGGAUUUUGUCAUGGGUUUGCCAUCUGCCAAUGGGGUCACAAUACUCAUGACAGUGGUGAACUGGUUCUCCAAGACGGUAGACCUGGUUCUCCAACAUGAAGUUUACCUCUACAGCUUCCCACAGGAUAGAGUGUUGGACUGGGACCCACAAUCUGUCUCAUGCUUCAGGCAAUCCCCCCACACCUCAGUGAGUUUGUCCUCUGGCUAAAUGUCAGUUAGAAAGAGACUAUCAGCAUGUAGAGAAGUUUCUACAAUUCUUCGCCACCUCUAACAUUUCCACAUGGAAGAAGUGUCUUCUCUGAGCUAGAAUGUCUUACAAUCUACACACUUCCUCUGCCACAUAGCUGUCACCCUUAUGAAGUGCUUCAUAGCUACCAACCCCGAUUGUUCCCUAUAGAGGAGCCAAUACUGGAGGUCCAGUCCACAGGGCCCUGGCUUGUUGCUGGCAGAGUUCUUGGAAGAGGACAUGCAGAACCAUUCUAGCGGCAAACUAUGCCUACUGCCACUGGGCCAACCACUGGCAUUGUCCAGCCAAACUACUCCGGCCUGACAACCAUGUCUGGUUGCCCACCAAAGCCCUUCCCUGCUCACUGAUUCCUACAAGCUCUCACCCUGGUUCAUUGGACCCUUCAAAAUUGGACCCAACGUGCCUCCACCUGCUACGGUCCCUCAGGAUCACACCUACCUUCCAUGUGUUCUGCACAAAGCCCAUUGUCCAUGGAUCACUCAACCCAGCUGAGCCUGUAUCUUCUGAACCUAGGAUGGUAGAAGGCAGUCCAGUGAUCACGGUUUGCCAGUUGAUGGAUUCUCCUUGUUGUGGACAGGGUGUGCAGUACCUACUCGACUGGGAAGGGUACCGGACACAUCCGGAUUGCCCUGGGUCAUUGAGUGCUUACGAUAGGAGGUGAUGCCCUGUCGGGCCUACACAGGUUGGCUCCUCGCAGUCUUCACCCAGCUAACUUACCUUUCAUUUCCAAUACAUCACGUGCACUCCAUUUAAAUCCAGCUCUCAUCCACUAUUCCUGUUCACUUACACGAACCAGCCAGCCUCAACCAGUUGUUUCUAGCCUUCAGUUACCCUGUUGCCUUGUCAUGUUUAGUAUCUGUUCUCUCUUGUUUUGUGGCCCCUUGUGGCUUGUUAUUUUGCAGUUUAUUAGUAAAAUAUCAUUUACUGAAUUGUCUCUGUUGCUCUGCUUUUGGGUCAAGCCUCGUCUACAUUUGCUGACAGUAUCUUGCUAGAUACUACCUCUGGCUUGAUAUUUUAUGUAGAUUAAAGUUUUGCAUUGUAAAUUUCUCUCUCUUGAGGUGAAUUCAGCUGGCAAAGUCAGUAAAAUAUUAGGUUAUGGAUAGUCUAAGGAAGAAAUAAAGGUUGUAGGAGAGAAAUCUGCAGAGACAUGCACAGCAAGACUUUUGGAAUUACAUUUCUGUAAUGACAUAUUACCACCAAAUAAAUGUUACAUAACCUUUAGCUGACCACUGCCCAGAGAUUUAUUCCGUCUUUCAAUUUAUAUGGUGCUAGUUAAUGAAUACGAUAUUAAACUAAAUCAUAUUUUGCUUUUAUUGCUGAUAAAAUAUCACUGGCCUGAAAUUUAACUUUUAUACUACGUCUGUCUCUCUCUCUCUCUCUCUCUCUCUCUCUCUCUCUCUCUCUCUCUCUCUCUCUCUCUCUCUCUCUCUCUGUCUCUGUCUCUCUGUCUCUCUCUCUCUCUCUCUCUCUCUCUCUCUCUCUCUCUCUCUCUCUCUCUCUCUCUCUCUCUCUCUCUCUCUGCACUGAUGCUAGCUGACCUGCUGAGUAUUUCGAGCAUUCUGCAUUUUAGAUUUCAAACAACAACAAUUCCAGGACAAUAACUUUAUGUUGCCUUCUGUGUUAGUUGUUGUUUUCUUGUUGAAUUAAGACUUCCAUCACCUAUAUUUGAAGAAAUUUAUCUAUGAAUUUCAUGGUUUUUGCAGCUCAUCGUGCUUGGAGGGGAUUUUUUGCAAAAAUUGUUUCAAUGAUGGCUACCAUGAAAACAAAAUAAGCAAAGGAAAAUCAAUCCAACUAACCAUUCCUGGUUGCUAUGCAACAUCAUAGACUGAAAAUGCACACAUUUGUCACAGGAUGUACAUAAUGUUGUGCACAGACUCUUCAAUAUUGUUCGCUACAGAGGAACGAAGGAAUGAUGGAAUGGUACCAAUUUUGCAUAGGCACACACAAUCAUUUUACCAUUAACCAAACCUUCAAUGUAAACAGAGUGGAUCGCUGGGAUAUCUCACCAGGAGAGGCAGAGUGUAAUUAUGUGGAGGUCUCCUCACAUGGAGUGAAGAAGGGCAAUGCUUGCAAGCUUCCGUUGCUACCACUCCAGUGGGAACUGAAGGCUAAAAGAGCAAAGCUUACACUACAGAGGCUAAGUCUGUUUAUGUUGGAAAAGAGAAGACAUGGAGGAUCAAAUUCAGGGACUGAGAAAUCUUUAGGGUAUCAACCAAAUGAACAUUGAGAAACUCAGAGCAUGUUCCAAAAAGCAGAUAGCGUACGAUCAUGCACAGAACGAAACUCAUAACAGGCAAAAUAAUAUAUUUCAUGCUGAAGGUGAUGGAACAAUUCCUAAUCAAGACAAUCUAGCUGGAAACAACAUAAAUGAAAAGAAGAAGUUAGACAGGCAUAUGGCAAAAUAUUAAGUUGGCCUCUGGGGCUGGACAAAUGUUUUCCUGAUAUUUUGAAUGUCUUUGUUCCUAGAUUCUGUUAUGUGGUGUUUGAAACAGGUUUUUACAUGAACCCUGAAGGCCCAUUAAUUCUCAGGCAUAGCGCCAAUCUCACUUUCCCAGCACAUUUUACCAAAAUGACCAAAGACGUUACUCAAUUGAAUGUGGAAGGAUAAAAAUCUCUAGGACAACAGUGUAACCCAGGAUUGUCUAACAGGAGCUGCAAAAGUAUUUAAGGCAUUUCCAGCAGAACGAAGAAAUACAUUGGAAUCAAUGACAAACUACAUACAAAGACUGGCAAACGACCAAUGUGCAAAUACAAAAAAAAUACUAAAUAGUAAACAAAUUAUACAGAAGACAUGAUAUGGACAUGACUCCCCUUGAAUGUGAGUCCAUAGGUAGUGGAAUCAGUUCGUUUUGAGAUGUUUGAACCUUGCUGGUUCAGGUGAUGUAAUUAGAAAAACAUCCACCGGAUCGAUGAAUAUUCAGAUAUACUGCUACACUCAUUUAAAGAAAAAGAACUGCUUUAAUCACCCGACUUCUAUUUCUACAACUGGCUCAUUCAGCGACUUGAAAGAAGCUUGUAAAUCUGCUCAAGCAGCUCCAGUAAAUAUGCUCAAAGAUUCUGGCUAGGUCAUUGCAACCACAUCCAACAGGCAGCCUACAGAGGCAACACUAGACAGUUGUGUGAGGCCAUUAGAAAGGCCGUUGGGCCAACAAAGAACAGGACAGCUCUGUUGAAAGACCUGGAAGGUAAUAUCAUACCUGAUGAGGGGAAGCAACUGGAGAGAUGGAUUGAUUGAUGUAAAAUGAUAUACCCUCGAGAGUCUCCUUUAACUUAACAUAAGCUAAAUGAAUCGCCAAGGUUUGAGGUUAUGACUUGUCUGGAUGCUAAGCCCGCACUGAAUGAAAAUGAAGAAAACAUCAGAAGACUUUCUAAUCAUAAAACAUCAAAACCAAAUUAUUUACCUGCUGAAACUUACAGCUAGGCAAAUAUACACAAAACUGUUAUUCAGUUGGAAGAAAGAAUCUGUUCAGUAAAAUUACAAAGGUAUUGAAUUCAUGUGUUUCUAUAACAAAAAAUUAUUUGAAUUAAAUGACUGCAGUCAGUUAAGAGGUAUGCCUCCUCUUAACAUCACAGGAAGAAUGUUAAAUUGCCUACUUUUACUGGGACCCUAAUAUCUCAAGUGGCCAUUUAAGUUUUUAAUCACCUUCUGUGGUAAGUUUAUGAAUAUUUAACAUGCAAAUACAGUGACCAGGAAUGUGAUAAGGAGGAUAAAUAAAAAUUGCUGUUUAGGCAAAGCUAGCACAAAUUGUCUGGCCACUCAUGGGGAUCCAUGGUUUUACAUCAUCUUGUCCUGAGUUAUAGGGAAAGGUUAAAUAGGUUAGGAGUUUCUUUCCCGGAGUGUAAAAGAUUGUACAGAAGAUACAAAAUUAUGACAGGUAUAGACAAGGUAAUACGUGCAGGCUUCCCCCUACCGAGGUUGGCUGAGACUCAAACUAGAGGUCAUAGGUUAAGGGUGAAAAGCGGAAUAGUUAAGGGGAACCUGAUGGGGAACUUCCUCACUCAGACGAUAGUAAAAAUGAGGAAUGAGUUGCCACCAUACAUGGUGGAUGUGGGUUUGAUAGCAACAUUUAAGAGAAGCUUGGAUACUGUCAGUACAUGGAUGGGGAAGAGAAGAUGUCUAUGCUCCAUGUGCGGGUCAAUGGGACUAAACAGACUAACCACUUUAAACAGAUUAGGUGGACUGAAUGGCCUGUUUUGUGCUGUAGUGCUUGUUGACUCUACAAUUGUAUGUCACUGGCUGAGUUGCACAUUUAAAAUGCACAGUACGCUCAUUGAAGUGGAAAGGCAACUCUAAGUCUCUUUACAAAGAUGCUACCUGACCUAUUAAGUAUUCACAGCAAUCUUGUUUUCAUUGCAGAUUCAAUUAUCUUGUGCUCAGAUAAUUAUUUUCCAUGUUCCACAUAGAUAAUACGUAAGCAAAAGUCAGCUUCUAUCUUGUGAGCAGUUUCAAAAUUGAAGAACAAAAAUUUCAAGAACCUACACCAAGGGAAUGGAUGUAUAUGUUACAGAUGGAAGGGUGAAUGUAACUACUUAGAUAACAUAUAAAUAUUUAAAAAUCAAUAUUUAAACAUGCAAAUAUUUAGAAAGCAUGAAACAGAAUUUAAACACAAAUAAACUCUCCUCUCUUUGGUGGUUAUGGAGCUGCAACAGAAUCUUUAUUAAGCAAGCAAGAAAAGUAUUUAAAAAAUGUCUUCACAUAUUUGGCAGUGAGCGCAAUGUUUGUUAACAUGAAGAACGUGUCAUCCUUGUGCUAAAUUACUGUGUUUUGUGCUUGGUUUACACACAAAAAAACAUGUAGAAUUCAUCCAGUUUCUAUUUCCAACUAUUUUAUAUUUAGCCACUUAAUGUACAUUAUAUUUGUAGUCAUGUUCUCACAAUUACUGACAAUCCAUCACAGCACAUACACUAUUUCUGCACUGUACUAUAGGUUUAAUAUAAGUAUGUCAUUUUACUUUCAAUUUGUGUUUAUUUCACAAAGGCAAAGGCAAGAAGAAUUGCCUUAAGUGCUCAUAAAAUUGAUGUUGCAAACAAUACAGUAUUGUGUUUCAGAAACUCCCUGAGAGGUAGAAGCAUGAUAUUCUCAUUGCACAGUAUAAUUGUGGACUUUUAAUAAACUCUCAUGUAAACACCACCUUACUCAACUGAUUCUGCCAAAAUGUAAUUAUGGAUCACUGGACUAUUGUAUCAUAAACAUCUCAAUGCAGUUAGUGUGCUAUAGUCAUGGAAUUUUCUGCACAAUCAAUCAUUUUUAUUUAAUUUAAGGUCAUUAAAUGAGGUGGAUAUUUGAAGGGGGUUACAUGCAUUGUGCAGAGCGAAGAGAAUAUAGACUGCCAAUAAAGGCCAGUUUAUUCAGUAAAGAAGCAAAGUGGAAUUGUGGGUAAGCAAUUCUUAGUGUAAAAAUAGUGUAUCAAUUAUUGAAGGGGAGCCCCAUCACAUAUCAAAAUGAUUCAAAGUUCAGUUCAUUGUGCGAUUAGAUUUUAUCAGCUCAACAAGGAUUGCACUAGUUUUGCAAAAUUAGCCUCAGAGCAGUUUGACCACAGAGGAUAAAAUUAGUAGGGCUUCAACUUCUAAUUUGUACUCAGGCUAAAACUCUACAUAUGGGCACAAGAAAGAAAAUGACUGAGCUUUACUGGAGUACCCUUAAGGUUAAAGAGGCUAUGGUUCAAAAGCUGUCUAAAUUUACACCUAAGUAUUUGAUAAAAGGCACAGAAGACAUCAUGGACAUCCACUGCUACCAAGGAAGAAUCCAGUUCGUGAUGCUUGUUUGUACCACAGGAUUUGAACUUCUGAGGUCAAGAGAGUGGAGCUGCCCCGGUUCCACAGCUUUUCCACUUAAAAAACACUCCCACACAGGUUUCUUGCCAUCAUCGGACAUGAUGGACAUCCAACACCAUAGGAAACAGCAACAAAUAGCUCGUGUAAGAAUUCUUGUGAGCCUAACCUUUGGAAAAUCUCAACAUUUCAAAAUAAGAUUCAGAAUCAAAAUCAGGUUUAAUGUCACCAGCAUAUGCCGUGAAAUUUCUUGACUUUGCAGAAGUGAGGAAGCGUUCAUUGGUUCAAUGUCCAUUCAGAGAUUGGAUGGCAGAGGGGAAGAAGCUGUUUCUGAUUUGUUGAGUUUGUGCCUUUACACUUCUUUACUGAUGGUAGCAAUAAGAACCAGGCAUGACCUGGGUGAUGGGUCCUUAAUGAAGGAUGCUACCUUUUUGAGGCAACCCUCCCUGAAGAUGUCCUGGAUACCACUGAAGCUGGAGCUCGUCAUGGAGCUAAGUUUACAAAUCUCUGCAGCUUAUCUCAAGCCUGGGCAGUAGUUCUUCCCCCACCCCAAGCCAGGUGAUGACGCAGCCAGUAUGAAUGAAACAUUUAAAGUAAUGGAAGUAAUUUGUAUGGAUAAAAAGCUAUGCGGAGAAACUGAAUAAUGAAAAGAAAUACGGUUUUUCACACAGUUGUAUGAAACUGGAAGGAAAGUAUAUCAGCAGAAAUUUUAAAUCCUCCUCACCUGGAAGAAAACAGACUGGGGGGAGAGUAGGGUGGUGAGGAGAGGGAUGUGAUUAAAGUGCACAGGCAGUUUAUUUGCUGGACCAGUGCACCAGUCUGGCUCAUGAACUUUAAGUUUCAGAUACCAAAGACACAUCCAAAUUCAGGCCUUGAUCAGACACUUGAAUAUAAGUAUCAUAUAAAAUCAAACAAUAAUAUAAAAAGACAUAAAAAUGCAUGAAUUUAAAUAAGUUAAUACUGAAUUACAAGCUUGCAAACUGUUUUAAUUAUAGCUAUUCUAACCCUGCUUCACUGAAGGAUAGUUUUGUAUCAUAAUAAAAGUACCAAGUGGUAAUGAUAUUGAAAUUUUGAAAUUUUAUAAUAGUCUAUUGGAAAUGAUUUAAAUAAACUGUAUGCCCCUAAAUACAUGACACAAGUUGCUAAUAAAAAGGA
Hypanus sabinus (Atlantic stingray) is the source of this 11835-nucleotide long non-coding RNA. RefSeq lists it as uncharacterized. Lineage: Eukaryota; Metazoa; Chordata; Chondrichthyes; Myliobatiformes; Dasyatidae. The record is from RefSeq and is a predicted model, not a curated record. The transcript is spliced from 5 exons.